UUCGUAGGUGACCUGCGGAAGGAUCAUUACAAGUGAGGCUACCGAACGUUGGAAACAGCGGUUAGGAGCUUACACCCACCCGUGUUUACAUACUAUUGUUGCUUUGGCGGGCCGUGGCCUCCACUGCGGGCUCUGCUCGUGUGUGCCCGCCAGAGAACCAAACUCUGAAUGUUAGUGAUGUCUGAGUACUAUCUAAUAGUUAAAACUUUCAACAACGGAUCUCUUGGUUCUGGCAUCGAUGAAGAACGCAGCGAAAUGCGAUAAGUAAUGUGAAUUGCAGAAUUCAGUGAAUCAUCGAAUCUUUGAACGCACAUUGCGCCCUGUGGUAUUCCGCAGGGCAUGCCUGUUCGAGCGUCAUUUAACCACUCACGCCUAGCGUGGUAUUGGGGCACGCGGUCUCCGCGGCCCUCAAAAUUAGUGGCGGCGCCGGUGGGCUCUAAGCGUAGUACAUACUCCCGCUAUAGAGUUCCCCCCGGUGGCUCGCCAGAACCCCCAAUUUUUUACAGGUUGACCUCGGAUCAGGUAGGGAUACCCGCUGAACUUAAGCAUAUCAAUAAGCGGAGGAAAAGAAACCAACAGGGAUUACCUCAGUAACGGCGAGUGAAGCGGUAACAGCUCAAAUUUGAAAGCUGCCAACAGGCCGCGUUGUAAUUUGUAGAAGCUGCUUUGGGUGUCGGCCCGGUCUAAGUUCCUUGGAACAGGACGUCAUAGAGGGUGAGAAUCCCGUAUGUGAUCGGUGCCGUUGCCCGUGUAAAGCGCUUUCGACGAGUCGAGUUGUUUGGGAAUGCAGCUCAAAAUGGGUGGUAAAUUUCAUCUAAAGCUAAAUAUUGGCCAGAGACCGAUAGCGCACAAGUAGAGUGAUCGAAAGAUGAAAAGCACUUUGGAAAGAGAGUUAAACAGUACGUGAAAUUGUUGAAAGGGAAGCGCUUGCAACAGACU
Molecule: ribosomal RNA, 939 nt
Filed under: uncultured fungus
Lineage: Eukaryota; Fungi
Description: eukaryotic LSU rRNA
Rfam family: Eukaryotic large subunit ribosomal RNA (bases 509-939)
Source: RNAcentral